AUGCUUGAAUCUGACAACGCUGUUGCCAGAUUCAAGCAGAUGAUUCCAUCAUCUUUUGCCUCAAUGUCUUGUAGAUACACAAAGAACAGUCACCUUAAUCCUUAUGAACAGGUUGACUGUAUUGUGGAUGAUGCUGCAGCUUCUCUACGUACAAUGUUAGACACAGUGGCUCCUCUGAAGAAGAAGACAGUGAAUCAGAGGAGGUUAGCUCCGUGGUAUAACUCAGAGAUCCGCAGCCUAAAGCAAAGGACCAGACAACUAGAAAGACAGUGGCGUUCCAACAAAAUAAAUGUAAACUGCAUUGCAUGGAAGGACAGUCUAAUGAAAUAUAAAAAAGCACUUUGUGCUGCUAGAAAAACAUAUUAUUCCUCCCUAAUUGAGGAAAACAAAAACAAUCCCAGGUUUCUUUUCAGCACUGUAGCCAGGCUGACAAAGAGUCAUAGCUGUAUUGAGUCUACUAUCCCCUUAAAUCUCACCAGCAAUGACUUUAUGAACUACUUUACUAAUAAAAUUAUCAUCAUUAGAAAAAACAUUCAGCAGCGACUUCUUCCAAAUGACAGAAAGCACUGUCUAGAUCCAUCAACUUUAAAUUUAUUAAAUCCUCUGUCUUACCUAGACAGCUUCUCCCCCAUAACUCAUAUGGAGUUAACCUCAAUAAUUAACUCUUCCAAGUCGUCCACUUGUCUUUUAGAUCCAAUCCCAACCAGAUUACUCAAAGAAGUUCUACCUUUAAUCAGCUCAUUCAUAUUAAAUCAAAUCAACCAAUCUUUACAACUAGGCUAUGUACCACAGGCUUUUAAGGUGGCUGUGGUCAAACCUCUAUUGAAAAAACCAACCCUUGACCCUGGACAACUAGCCAACUAUAGGCCCAUUUCAAAUUUACCCUUUAUUUCCAUCAUUCUGGAAAAAUCCGUGGCUAAACAAUUAUCUGACCACCUGAGUGGGAAUAACCUGUACGAAGAUUUUCAGUCAGGAUUUAGAAAACAUCAUAGCACAGAAACAGCUCUGGUUAGAGUCACUAAUGAUCUUCUAUUAGCUUCGGACAAUGGUCUAGUUUCUGUCCUUGUCCUGUUAGAUCUUAGUGCUGCAUUUGAUACAAUUGAUCAUAACAUUCUAUUGCAGACACUAGAACAUAGAAUCGGGAUUAAAGGAACAGCAUUGGGAUGGUUUAAAUCCUAUUUAAAUCCUUCCAUCCAUCCAUUUUCUUAA
RNAcentral lists this long non-coding RNA (1209 nucleotides) under Betta splendens (Siamese fighting fish). RNAcentral's name for it is "lncRNA (ENSBSLG00000024952.1)". Lineage: Eukaryota; Metazoa; Chordata; Actinopteri; Anabantiformes; Osphronemidae. The record is from RNAcentral.